Molecule: long non-coding RNA, 42154 nt
Organism: Monodelphis domestica (gray short-tailed opossum)
Lineage: Eukaryota; Metazoa; Chordata; Mammalia; Didelphimorphia; Didelphidae
Source: RefSeq, a predicted model, not a curated record
ACUAGUGGAGGUCAAGCUCCAAAGCCAUUGGCCAGUUAAAGGAUCCUCAGGGAGCAGAUUAGGUUUGCAAAGCAAGUGGGGGAAGAGGAAUGGGGCUCUUUGCUUCCUGACUCAUCUCUCAACUAACUCUGCCUCUGGGCUAGUGCUCUGUCUGGGACCUAAACCCAACUUGGGUGGCAAAGGCUGAAACCCCAAGUGUCUUCUCUUCUCUUUCCUAAUGAGUGCUUCUCAAUGGAGACCAACAUUCUAAUCUAAUUUCAGACCCUUCCUAGCUAUGUUACUCUGGGCAGAUCACUUCACCCCCAUUGCCCAGCCCUGACCACUCUCUCCUGCCUGAGAAACAAUACACAGAAUUGAUUGGAAAAUGGAAGGUAAGGGGGUGGGGGGACAAAAACUACAAAUCCCUCCAGGAAGUAUUCUAGGAAUCAACUUCAAGUUCACCCAGCUAUUGUUUCCAUGAGACAUUUUUCUUCCUUUGGUUCCCAACCAAGGCAGACUUUCAUGUCUUCUCUCUUCUUGUCCUUCUCCAUGGUUCUGCAAAGAUCUGCUAAUUUUGGAAGAAGCCUAGUAAGGGAAGCUGAUUUGAUCAGUGGAUAGAGAAUCAGGCCUAAUGACUGGAGGCUCAAAUCCAGCCUGGGACACUUCCUUCCUGCGUGACCCUGGGCAAAUCACUUCAUCUCUUGCCAAGCCCUUCCUUACUACUUUUGUGCUUUAGACCCACAUACAGAAUUGGUUUUGAGAUGGAAGGGAAGGUUUUUUCCAAAAAAUAAUGAACUUUUUUAACUCAAUAUUUAUCUGGGGAGAUUUAAAUGCAAAGAACCCAAAUGGUAGAUGACCCAAAGUAUCUUGGAAAGAUGCAUGGUAGGUAUCGAUGAGCUGUACUAGAGAUGAUUUGAGUGCAAGAAGCAGUCUAAAAAGCCAUCCAGUUGGAUGAUCAGGGACGAGAUAAGCCUGGCCCAGUUCUUUGGUGUCUUGAACCAAAACCCUCAUCCUAGAAUUCUUAGUGUGAAAAAGAUGUGGAUAGGUUUUGACCUGCAUUGCAAGAAAGGAUACAUCCCAGAUACAGCACCAAGACCAAGAGAAGAGAACUCCCUUCCCUUGACGAAGCUAGUGAAUAUCCAUUGAGAGAUAGCCUUAGAUAAUAGUAUGGAGACAUGAGUAGCUUCAGAGACAGGAAGGAGGCCUGGUUUCAAAUGAUGCCUUUGACACCUACUAACUGAGUGGUGCCAAAUAAGUCCCUAGUGGCUCAGAGAAUUCUCCAAGUCUCUAAGUUACAAAAGAGUUGCCUAUCCACACCUAUUAAGAGAAUUAGCACACUGGAACAUCCAUGGAUAAAAUUACAAGUCUUGCCUCCUUGCUCCCAUCACCAUUGAUAUUUUCCUAUUGCAAUAAACAUAUUGAACACUUCGGCAGCAGGUAGGGUUAUCCACACAUAGACUGGACAGCAGGAUUUACUCAUAGGUCCUUAUCGUGGGAAAGAACUUUGUUUUUUUUUCUUUUUGGGUGCCCCUUGGAAAUGCCUCUUCAGUCUUUUGGAUGUGUUUCCACUGUGGAAAGGAAUGGCAUGAGCUCAGUACAUUGGACUGGGCAAUGGGUCUGCUGAAGAAGAUAUCCUGAAAAGUUUAAAAGCUUAGAAAACAAGCUGGAGGCUGGAAUUCAAUUCUGUCUAUGAAGUCCUUUGUAAGAAAGUGAAUAGAAAUGAAGAAAAUAAAAGAGAACAUUUAGGACAAAAGGUGAGGCCCACGGUGAGAUGGCUUAGGUGUGUUGAUACAGGGAUCCAGGCUGAUGUUCCUCUUGGUCAUCCUGGCUCUCUUGGGUCUCCUGGGCCUUAAUCACCUGUUUCUUGCCGUGGAUGUCUUGCUUCGACUCUGGGCCACCAUCCUUCAGGAAGAGACCCUGGAACUUUUCAGCCAUUUGGUCAGAACUUCUCAGUUUGACUAGUCAAGUUCUCUCUUCCUUGGGUUCAUGUGUCUUUUCACAUCCUUUUUGAAUUCCUGGAAUUUUGCCUUCAACCUGGGGGCUUGUUGUGCACUCCGGAAUCAGCUGGCCAACAGCUCUGGCGUUGGACUUUGAUGGGCAGUUAGGCUGUGUGUCCCAAACCAAGUCCCAUCACUGCCCUAACCGGGCUUCAGCUCCACCAGUGGGGUUCCUGAGUCAUUGGCUCUUCAGAGACUUGUCCCAGCUCCCGAGGAGACCAAUUGUCCCUGUGUCCUUGUGUCUCAGCAGCUUCCCAUCAGCCGUCCAUGCUCUUUCCACUGGGGAAGGUCAUUGUGAGAGGCAAAGGGGAGCAGCUUGUUCCACCUUCCAGAUCUCUUCUUCAUCUGCCUGACUGCAGGGUCUUCAUGUCCUACUCAGACAGACAGACAGACCACGGGCUGUAACUGGGGAUCCUGCUUGCCUUCCUCCAGGCUGUUGCUGGUGGAAUCCUGCUCAAUCAGAGAUUCCUUGGUAGAGGCCAUCAGAAGGGGAAAGGAGGGGGUGGUGAUGCCACAGCGGCGUCAGCAAUGGUUGCUCCCAGUGACGCGAAGGCGGAGGGUGCAGCCAUUGUGGCGCUCUGUUGGCCCUAGUGCUUAAGUAGGCUGAGUCUCGCUACUGCUCGCACAUGCGCGAGACACUCCGGCCCCCCAACCCGGCUGCCAGGGGACUGGAAAGGGCUUGGAAGAGAUGCGCUAAUCCAAACGUUUCAUUUUUAGGAGAGGGGGAAAAUGGAGGCCUGGACAGAAGGGAUUCAUUGCACUUGACUCCGGGAGCCAAUGGGAGAGCUAAGUCCAGAGCAUUGGUGAAAUUGGGAGGGAAAUGAUAAGGGUGCCGACAUCCCAGCUUGAAUCCCGCCUAGGAAUCAGAGUUCCUGUGUGGGAUGGCUCAAGUCUGGGAUAUGGGGACGGGGGAAGGGACAGCACUGGUUGAGGUCAUGGUCCAAAGCCAUUGGCCAAGGAAAGGAUCCCCAGGGAGGAGAUUCGGUUUGCAAAGCUCCUGGGGAAGAGGAAUUGGGGCUCUUUGCUUCCUGAUCUCUCUCUCAACUAACUCUGCCUGUUGACUAGUGCUCUGUCUGGGACCUGAACCCAACUCGGGUGGGAAAGACUGAAACCCCAAGUUUCACCUCUGAUCUUUCCUAAGGACAGCUUUUCAGUCCAGUCCCACUUUCUAAUCUGAUUUCAGACCCUUCCUAGCUGGGUGACCGUGGGCAAAUCACUUCACCUCCAUUGCCCGGCCCUGACCACUCUCCUGCCUGAGAACCAAUACUCAGCAUUGAAUGGAAGAUGCAAGGUAAAGGGGGGAAUGAAAGCUACAAAUCCCUUCUGGAAGUAUUCUAGGAAUCAGCUUCAAGCUCACCAAGAGCCUUCUUCUUCCCUUGGAUCUCCUGCUUAGCCUCUGCGCCACCAUCCUUCACCCAGAUUUCCUUGAACUUCUCCGCCAUGUGGUCAGAAUUUCUCUCUUUAGUCAAGCUUUCUCUUCCUGGGCUUCUUCUUUCCUUUCUUUUGUUUCUUGUCAUCUCCUUCUUGUAUUUCUGGAAUUUUGCCUUCAACCUGUGAACAUUUUGUGCACUCAGGCAUCUGUUGGCCAGCAGCCGCCCUGGCUUUGGACUUUGAUGGGCAGAGUGAGGCUGUGUGUUCCCAACACAAGCCCCUUCACUACCCGCACUGGGCUUCAGCUCCAGCAGUGGGGUUCUGGAGUGAUUGGCACAGCUCUUCAGAGACUUGUCCUGGCUUCUGAGGAGGACAAUUGUCCUUCUGUCCUUGUGUCUCAGCAGCUUCCCAAGAGCCGUUCCUGCUCUUUCCAUUGGGGAAGGUCAUUGUGAGAGGCAAAGGGGAGCGGCUUGGCUCCCACCUUCCAGAGCUCUUCUUCCUCUGCCUGCCUGCAGGGUCUUCAUGCCCUGCUCAGCAGACAGACAACGGGCUGAAACUGGGGAUCCUGCUUGCUGUCCUCCAGGCUGUGGGCUGUGGAAUCCUGCUCCUCCUGAGGUUCCUUGGUAGAGACCAUCAGAAGGGGAAGGGGUGGCCCGAUGUGGAAGAAGCGUCAGCAAUGGUUGCUCCCAGUGACCUGAAGGCAAAGGGGGCAGCCGUUGUGGCAGCUCUGGUGGCCCUCGCGCUGAGUUUCCUUCCAACUCGCGCAGGCUCGAGAGUGCAGGCAUGCGCGCAAGCCUAGCCCUGUCUGCCUGGCUGCUGUGGCAGUGGGAAAGUGCUUGGAAGAGAUCUCCUAAUUCACACACUUCCUUUUGUAGGAGAAGGGAAAAAAUGGAGGCCAGGACAGAAGUGACUCAUUGCACGUGACUCCGGGAGCCAAUGGGAGAGCUAAGUCCAGAGCACUGGUGAAAGUGGGAGGGAAAUCAUGAGGAGACCUCCAUCCCAGCUUGAAUCCCGCCUAUGAAUCAGAGUCCUGUGUCAUGGCCAAACUCUGGGAUUUGGGGACCGGCGAGGGGGGGGGAGGGAAAGUACUAGUGGAGGUCAAGCUCCAAAGCCAUUGGCCAGUUAAAGGAUCCUCAGGGAGCAGAUUAGGUUUGCAAAGCAAGUGGGGGAAGAGGAAUGGGGCUCUUUGCUUCCUGACUCAUCUCUCAACUAACUCUGCCUCUGGGCUAGUGCUCUGUCUGGGACCUAAACCCAACUUGGGUGGCAAAGGCUGGAACCCCAAGUGUCUUCUCUUCUCUUUCCUAAUGAGUGCUUCUCAAUGGAGACCAACAUUCUAAUCUGAUUUCAGACCCUUCCUAGCUAUGUUACUCUGGGCAGAUCACUUCACCCCCAUUGCCCAGCCCUGACCACUCUCUCCUGCCUGAGAAACAAUACACAGAAUUGAUUGGAAAAUGGAAGGUAAGGGGGGGGGGACAAAAACUACAAAUCCCUUCAGGAAGUAUUCUAGGAAUCAGUUUCAAGCUCACCAGCUAUUGUUUCCAUGAGACAUUUUUCUUCCUUUGGUUCCCAACCAGGGCAGACUUUCAUGUCUUCUCUCUUCUUGUCCUUCUCCAUGGUUCUGCAAAGAUCUGCUAAUUUUGGAAGAAGCCUAGUAAGGGAAGCUGAUUUGAUCAGUGGAUAGAGAAUCAGGCCUAAUGACUGGAGGCUCAAAUCCAGCCUGGGACACUUCCUUCCUGCGUGACCCUGGGCAAAUCACUUCAUCUCUUGCCAAGCCCUUCCUUACUACUUUUGUGCUUUAGACCCACAUACAGAAUUGGUUUUGAGAUGGAAGGGAAGGUUUUUUCCAAAAAAUAAUGAACUUUUUUAACUCAAUAUUUAUCUGGGGAGAUUUAAAUGCAAAGAACCCAAAUGGUAGAUGACCCAAAGUAUCUUGGAAAGAUGCAUGGUAGGUAUCGAUGAGCUGUACUAGAGAUGAUUUGAGUGCAAGAAGCAGUCUAAAAAGCCAUCCAGUUGGAUGAUCAGGGACGAGAUAAGCCUGGCCCAGUUCUUUGGUGUCUUGAACCAAAACCCUCAUCCUAGAAUUCUUAGUGUGAAAAAGAUGUGGAUAGGUUUUGACCUGCAUUGCAAGAAAGGAUACAUCCCAGAUACAGCACCAAGACCAAGAGAAGGGAACUCCCUUCCCUUGACGAAGCUAGUGAAUAUCCAUUGAGAGAUAGAUAGCCUUAGAUAAUAGUAUGGAGACAUGAGUAGCUUCAGAGACAGGAAGGAGGCCUGGUUUCAAAUGAUGCCUUUGACACCUACUAACUGAGUGGUGCCAAAUAAGUCCCUAGUGGCUCAGAGAAUUCUCCAAGUCUCUAAGUUACAAAAGAGUUGCCUAUCCACACCUAUUAAGAGAAUUAGCACACUGGAACAUCCAUGGAUAAAAUUACAAGUCUUGCCUCCUUGCUCCCAUCACCAUUGAUAUUUUCCUAUUGCAAUAAACAUAUUGAACACUUCGGCAGCAGGUAGGGUUAUCCACACGUAGACUGGACAGCAGGAUUUACUCAUAGGUCCUUAUCGUGGGAAAGAACUUUGUUUUUUUUUCUUUUUGGGUGCCCCUUGGAAAUGCCUCUUCAGUCUUUUGGAUGUGUUUCCACUGUGGAAAGGAAUGGCAUGAGCUCAGUACAUUGGACUGGGCAAUGGGUCUGCUGAAGAAGAUAUCCUGAAAAGUUUAAAAGCUUAGAAAACAAGCUGGAGGCUGGAAUUCAAUUCUGUCUAUGAAGUCCUUUGUAAGAAAGUGAAUAGAAAUGAAGAAAAUAAAAGAGAACAUUUAGGACAAAAGGUGAGGCCCACGGUGAGAUGGCUUAGGUGUGUUGAUACAGGGAUCCAGGCUGAUGUUCCUCUUGGUCAUCCUGGCUCUCUUGGGUCUCCUGGGCCUUAAUCACCUGUUUCUUGCCGUGGAUGUCUUGCUUCGACUCUGGGCCACCAUCCUUCAGGAAGAGACCCUGGAACUUUUCAGCCAUUUGGUCAGAACUUCUCAGUUUGACUAGUCAAGUUCUCUCUUCCUUGGGUUCAUGUGUCUUUUCACAUCCUUUUUGAAUUCCUGGAAUUUUGCCUUCAACCUGGGGGCUUGUUGUGCACUCCGGAAUCAGCUGGCCAACAGCUCUGGCGUUGGACUUUGAUGGGCAGUUAGGCUGUGUGUCCCAAACCAAGUCCCAUCACUGCCCUAACCGGGCUUCAGCUCCACCAGUGGGGUUCCUGAGUCAUUGGCUCUUCAGAGACUUGUCCCAGCUCCCGAGGAGACCAAUUGUCCCUGUGUCCUUGUGUCUCAGCAGCUUCCCAUCAGCCGUCCAUGCUCUUUCCACUGGGGAAGGUCAUUGUGAGAGGCAAAGGGGAGCAGCUUGUUCCACCUUCCAGAUCUCUUCUUCAUCUGCCUGACUGCAGGGUCUUCAUGUCCUACUCAGACAGACAGACAGACCACGGGCUGUAACUGGGGAUCCUGCUUGCCUUCCUCCAGGCUGUUGCUGGUGGAAUCCUGCUCAAUCAGAGAUUCCUUGGUAGAGGCCAUCAGAAGGGGAAAGGAGGGGGUGGUGAUGCCACAGCGGCGUCAGCAAUGGUUGCUCCCAGUGACGCGAAGGCGGAGGGUGCAGCCAUUGUGGCGCUCUGUUGGCCCUAGUGCUUAAGUAGGCUGAGUCUCGCUACUGCUCGCACAUGCGCGAGACACUCCGGCCCCCCAACCCGGCUGCCAGGGGACUGGAAAGGGCUUGGAAGAGAUGCGCUAAUCCAAACGUUUCAUUUUUAGGAGAGGGGGAAAAUGGAGGCCUGGACAGAAGGGAUUCAUUGCACUUGACUCCGGGAGCCAAUGGGAGAGCUAAGUCCAGAGCAUUGGUGAAAUUGGGAGGGAAAUGAUAAGGGUGCCGACAUCCCAGCUUGAAUCCCGCCUAGGAAUCAGAGUUCCUGUGUGGGAUGGCUCAAGUCUGGGAUAUGGGGACGGGGGAAGGGACAGCACUGGUUGAGGUCAUGGUCCAAAGCCAUUGGCCAAGGAAAGGAUCCCCAGGGAGGAGAUUCGGUUUGCAAAGCUCCUGGGGAAGAGGAAUUGGGGCUCUUUGCUUCCUGAUCUCUCUCUCAACUAACUCUGCCUGUUGACUAGUGCUCUGUCUGGGACCUGAACCCAACUCGGGUGGGAAAGACUGAAACCCCAAGUUUCACCUCUGAUCUUUCCUAAGGACAGCUUUUCAGUCCAGUCCCACUUUCUAAUCUGAUUUCAGACCCUUCCUAGCUGGGUGACCGUGGGCAAAUCACUUCACCUCCAUUGCCCGGCCCUGACCACUCUCCUGCCUGAGAACCAAUACUCAGCAUUGAAUGGAAGAUGCAAGGUAAAGGGGGGAAUGAAAGCUACAAAUCCCUUCUGGAAGUAUUCUAGGAAUCAGCUUCAAGCUCACCAAGAGCCUUCUUCUUCCCUUGGAUCUCCUGCUUAGCCUCUGCGCCACCAUCCUUCACCCAGAUUUCCUUGAACUUCUCCGCCAUGUGGUCAGAAUUUCUCUCUUUGACUAGUCAAGCUUUCUCUUCCUGGGCUUCUUCUUUCCUUUCUUUUGUUUCUUGUCAUCUCCUUCUUGUAUUUCUGGAAUUUUGCCUUCAACCUGUGAACAUUUUGUGCACUCAGGCAUCUGUUGGCCAGCAGCCGCCCUGGCUUUGGACUUUGAUGGGCAGAGUGAGGCUGUGUGUUCCCAACACAAGCCCCUUCACUACCCGCACUGGGCUUCAGCUCCAGCAGUGGGGUUCUGGAGUGAUUGGCACAGCUCUUCAGAGACUUGUCCUGGCUUCUGAGGAGGACAAUUGUCCUUCUGUCCUUGUGUCUCAGCAGCUUCCCAAGAGCCGUUCCUGCUCUUUCCAUUGGGGAAGGUCAUUGUGAGAGGCAAAGGGGAGCGGCUUGGCUCCCACCUUCCAGAGCUCUUCUUCCUCUGCCUGCCUGCAGGGUCUUCAUGCCCUGCUCAGCAGACAGACAACGGGCUGAAACUGGGGAUCCUGCUUGCUGUCCUCCAGGCUGUCAGCGGUGGAAUCCUGCUCCUCCUGAGGUUCCUUGGUAGAGACCAUCAGAAGGGGAAGGGGUGGCCCGAUGUGGAAGAAGCGUCAGCAAUGGUUGCUCCCAGUGACCUGAAGGCAAAGGGGGCAGCCGUUGUGGCAGCUCUGGUGGCCCUCGCGCUGAGUUUCCUUCCAACUCGCGCAGGCUCGAGAGCGCAGGCAUGCGCGCAAGCCUAGCCCUGUCUGCCUGGCUGCUGUGGCAGUGGGAAAGUGCUUGGAAGAGAUCUCCUAAUUCACACACUUCCUUUUGUAGGAGAAGGGAAAAAAUGGAGGCCAGGACAGAAGUGACUCAUUGCACGUGACUCCGGGAGCCAAUGGGAGAGCUAAGUCCAGAGCACUGGUGAAAGUGGGAGGGAAAUCAUGAGGAGACCUCCAUCCCAGCUUGAAUCCCGCCUAUGAAUCAGAGUCCUGUGUCAUGGCCAAACUCUGGGAUUUGGGGACCGGCGAGGGGGGGGGAGGGAAAGUACUAGUGGAGGUCAAGCUCCAAAGCCAUUGGCCAGUUAAAGGAUCCUCAGGGAGCAGAUUAGGUUUGCAAAGCAAGUGGGGGAAGAGGAAUGGGGCUCUUUGCUUCCUGACUCAUCUCUCAACUAACUCUGCCUCUGGGCUAGUGCUCUGUCUGGGACCUAAACCCAACUUGGGUGGCAAAGGCUGGAACCCCAAGUGUCUUCUCUUCUCUUUCCUAAUGAGUGCUUCUCAAUGGAGACCAACAUUCUAAUCUGAUUUCAGACCCUUCCUAGCUAUGUUACUCUGGGCAGAUCGCUUCACCCCCAUUGCCCAGCCCUGACCACUCUCUCCUGCCUGAGAAACAAUACACAGAAUUGAUUGGAAAAUGGAAGGUAAGGGGGGGGGGACAAAAACUACAAAUCCCUUCAGGAAGUAUUCUAGGAAUCAGUUUCAAGCUCACCAGCUAUUGUUUCCAUGAGACAUUUUUCUUCCUUUGGUUCCCAACCAGGGCAGACUUUCAUGUCUUCUCUCUUCUUGUCCUUCUCCAUGGUUCUGCAAAGAUCUGCUAAUUUUGGAAGAAGCCUAGUAAGGGAAGCUGAUUUGAUCAGUGGAUAGAGAAUCAGGCCUAAUGACUGGAGGCUCAAAUCCAGCCUGGGACACUUCCUUCCUGCGUGACCCUGGGCAAAUCACUUCAUCUCUUGCCAAGCCCUUCCUUACUACUUUUGUGCUUUAGACCCACAUACAGAAUUGGUUUUAAGAUGGAAGGGAAGGUUUUUUCCAAAAAAUAAUGAACUUUUUUAACUCAAUAUUUAUCUGGGGAGAUUUAAAUGCAAAGAACCCAAAUGGUAGAUGACCCAAAGUAUCUUGGAAAGAUGCAUGGUAGGUAUCGAUGAGCUGUACUAGAGAUGAUUUGAGUGCAAGAAGCAGUCUAAAAAGCCAUCCAGUUGGAUGAUCAGGGACGAGAUAAGCCUGGCCCAGUUCUUUGGUGUCUUGAACCAAAACCCUCAUCCUAGAAUUCUUAGUGUGAAAAAGAUGUGGAUAGGUUUUGACCUGCAUUGCAAGAAAGGAUACAUCCCAGAUACAGCACCAAGACCAAGAGAAGGGAACUCCCUUCCCUUGACGAAGCUAGUGAAUAUCCAUUGAGAGAUAGAUAGCCUUAGAUAAUAGUAUGGAGACAUGAGUAGCUUCAGAGACAGGAAGGAGGCCUGGUUUCAAAUGAUGCCUUUGACACCUACUAACUGAGUGGUGCCAAAUAAGUCCCUAGUGGCUCAGAGAAUUCUCCAAGUCUCUAAGUUACAAAAGAGUUGCCUAUCCACACCUAUUAAGAGAAUUAGCACACUGGAACAUCCAUGGAUAAAAUUACAAGUCUUGCCUCCUUGCUCCCAUCACCAUUGAUAUUUUCCUAUUGCAAUAAACAUAUUGAACACUUCGGCAGCAGGUAGGGUUAUCCACACAUAGACUGGACAGCAGGAUUUACUCAUAGGUCCUUAUCGUGGGAAAGAACUUUGUUUUUUUUUCUUUUUGGGUGCCCCUUGGAAAUGCCUCUUCAGUCUUUUGGAUGUGUUUCCACUGUGGAAAGGAAUGGCAUGAGCUCAGUACAUUGGACUGGGCAAUGGGUCUGCUGAAGAAGAUAUCCUGAAAAGUUUAAAAGCUUAGAAAACAAGCUGGAGGCUGGAAUUCAAUUCUGUCUAUGAAGUCCUUUGUAAGAAAGUGAAUAGAAAUGAAGAAAAUAAAAGAGAACAUUUAGGACAAAAGGUGAGGCCCACGGUGAGAUGGCUUAGGUGUGUUGAUACAGGGAUCCAGGCUGAUGUUCCUCUUGGUCAUCCUGGCUCUCUUGGGUCUCCUGGGCCUUAAUCACCUGUUUCUUGCCGUGGAUGUCUUGCUUCGACUCUGGGCCACCAUCCUUCAGGAAGAGACCCUGGAACUUUUCAGCCAUUUGGUCAGAACUUCUCAGUUUGACUAGUCAAGUUCUCUCUUCCUUGGGUUCAUGUGUCUUUUCACAUCCUUUUUGAAUUCCUGGAAUUUUGCCUUCAACCUGGGGGCUUGUUGUGCACUCCGGAAUCAGCUGGCCAACAGCUCUGGCGUUGGACUUUGAUGGGCAGUUAGGCUGUGUGUCCCAAACCAAGUCCCAUCACUGCCCUAACCGGGCUUCAGCUCCACCAGUGGGGUUCCUGAGUCAUUGGCUCUUCAGAGACUUGUCCCAGCUCCCGAGGAGACCAAUUGUCCCUGUGUCCUUGUGUCUCAGCAGCUUCCCAUCAGCCGUCCAUGCUCUUUCCACUGGGGAAGGUCAUUGUGAGAGGCAAAGGGGAGCAGCUUGUUCCACCUUCCAGAUCUCUUCUUCAUCUGCCUGACUGCAGGGUCUUCAUGUCCUACUCAGACAGACAGACAGACCACGGGCUGUAACUGGGGAUCCUGCUUGCCUUCCUCCAGGCUGUUGCUGGUGGAAUCCUGCUCAAUCAGAGAUUCCUUGGUAGAGGCCAUCAGAAGGGGAAAGGAGGGGGUGGUGAUGCCACAGCGGCGUCAGCAAUGGUUGCUCCCAGUGACGCGAAGGCGGAGGGUGCAGCCAUUGUGGCGCUCUGUUGGCCCUAGUGCUUAAGUAGGCUGAGUCUCGCUACUGCUCGCACAUGCGCGAGACACUCCGGCCCCCCAACCCGGCUGCCAGGGGACUGGAAAGGGCUUGGAAGAGAUGCGCUAAUCCAAACGUUUCAUUUUUAGGAGAGGGGGAAAAUGGAGGCCUGGACAGAAGGGAUUCAUUGCACUUGACUCCGGGAGCCAAUGGGAGAGCUAAGUCCAGAGCAUUGGUGAAAUUGGGAGGGAAAUGAUAAGGGUGCCGACAUCCCAGCUUGAAUCCCGCCUAGGAAUCAGAGUUCCUGUGUGGGAUGGCUCAAGUCUGGGAUAUGGGGACGGGGGAAGGGACAGCACUGGUUGAGGUCAUGGUCCAAAGCCAUUGGCCAAGGAAAGGAUCCCCAGGGAGGAGAUUCGGUUUGCAAAGCUCCUGGGGAAGAGGAAUUGGGGCUCUUUGCUUCCUGAUCUCUCUCUCAACUAACUCUGCCUGUUGACUAGUGCUCUGUCUGGGACCUGAACCCAACUCGGGUGGGAAAGACUGAAACCCCAAGUUUCACCUCUGAUCUUUCCUAAGGACAGCUUUUCAGUCCAGUCCCACUUUCUAAUCUGAUUUCAGACCCUUCCUAGCUGGGUGACCGUGGGCAAAUCACUUCACCUCCAUUGCCCGGCCCUGACCACUCUCCUGCCUGAGAACCAAUACUCAGCAUUGAAUGGAAGAUGCAAGGUAAAGGGGGGAAUGAAAGCUACAAAUCCCUUCUGGAAGUAUUCUAGGAAUCAGCUUCAAGCUCACCAAGAGCCUUCUUCUUCCCUUGGAUCUCCUGCUUAGCCUCUGCGCCACCAUCCUUCACCCAGAUUUCCUUGAACUUCUCCGCCAUGUGGUCAGAAUUUCUCUCUUUAGUCAAGCUUUCUCUUCCUGGGCUUCUUCUUUCCUUUCUUUUGUUUCUUGUCAUCUCCUUCUUGUAUUUCUGGAAUUUUGCCUUCAACCUGUGAACAUUUUGUGCACUCAGGCAUCUGUUGGCCAGCAGCCGCCCUGGCUUUGGACUUUGAUGGGCAGAGUGAGGCUGUGUGUUCCCAACACAAGCCCCUUCACUACCCGCACUGGGCUUCAGCUCCAGCAGUGGGGUUCUGGAGUGAUUGGCACAGCUCUUCAGAGACUUGUCCUGGCUUCUGAGGAGGACAAUUGUCCUUCUGUCCUUGUGUCUCAGCAGCUUCCCAAGAGCCGUUCCUGCUCUUUCCAUUGGGGAAGGUCAUUGUGAGAGGCAAAGGGGAGCGGCUUGGCUCCCACCUUCCAGAGCUCUUCUUCCUCUGCCUGCCUGCAGGGUCUUCAUGCCCUGCUCAGCAGACAGACAACGGGCUGAAACUGGGGAUCCUGCUUGCUGUCCUCCAGGCUGUGGGCUGUGGAAUCCUGCUCCUCCUGAGGUUCCUUGGUAGAGACCAUCAGAAGGGGAAGGGGUGGCCCGAUGUGGAAGAAGCGUCAGCAAUGGUUGCUCCCAGUGACCUGAAGGCAAAGGGGGCAGCCGUUGUGGCAGCUCUGGUGGCCCUCGCGCUGAGUUUCCUUCCAACUCGCGCAGGCUCGAGAGUGCAGGCAUGCGCGCAAGCCUAGCCCUGUCUGCCUGGCUGCUGUGGCAGUGGGAAAGUGCUUGGAAGAGAUCUCCUAAUUCACACACUUCCUUUUGUAGGAGAAGGGAAAAAAUGGAGGCCAGGACAGAAGUGACUCAUUGCACGUGACUCCGGGAGCCAAUGGGAGAGCUAAGUCCAGAGCACUGGUGAAAGUGGGAGGGAAAUCAUGAGGAGACCUCCAUCCCAGCUUGAAUCCCGCCUAUGAAUCAGAGUCCUGUGUCAUGGCCAAACUCUGGGAUUUGGGGACCGGCGAGGGGGGGGGAGGGAAAGUACUAGUGGAGGUCAAGCUCCAAAGCCAUUGGCCAGUUAAAGGAUCCUCAGGGAGCAGAUUAGGUUUGCAAAGCAAGUGGGGGAAGAGGAAUGGGGCUCUUUGCUUCCUGACUCAUCUCUCAACUAACUCUGCCUCUGGGCUAGUGCUCUGUCUGGGACCUAAACCCAACUUGGGUGGCAAAGGCUGGAACCCCAAGUGUCUUCUCUUCUCUUUCCUAAUGAGUGCUUCUCAAUGGAGACCAACAUUCUAAUCUGAUUUCAGACCCUUCCUAGCUAUGUUACUCUGGGCAGAUCACUUCACCCCCAUUGCCCAGCCCUGACCACUCUCUCCUGCCUGAGAAACAAUACACAGAAUUGAUUGGAAAAUGGAAGGUAAGGGGGGGGGGACAAAAACUACAAAUCCCUUCAGGAAGUAUUCUAGGAAUCAGUUUCAAGCUCACCAGCUAUUGUUUCCAUGAGACAUUUUUCUUCCUUUGGUUCCCAACCAGGGCAGACUUUCAUGUCUUCUCUCUUCUUGUCCUUCUCCAUGGUUCUGCAAAGAUCUGCUAAUUUUGGAAGAAGCCUAGUAAGGGAAGCUGAUUUGAUCAGUGGAUAGAGAAUCAGGCCUAAUGACUGGAGGCUCAAAUCCAGCCUGGGACACUUCCUUCCUGCGUGACCCUGGGCAAAUCACUUCAUCUCUUGCCAAGCCCUUCCUUACUACUUUUGUGCUUUAGACCCACAUACAGAAUUGGUUUUGAGAUGGAAGGGAAGGUUUUUUCCAAAAAAUAAUGAACUUUUUUAACUCAAUAUUUAUCUGGGGAGAUUUAAAUGCAAAGAACCCAAAUGGUAGAUGACCCAAAGUAUCUUGGAAAGAUGCAUGGUAGGUAUCGAUGAGCUGUACUAGAGAUGAUUUGAGUGCAAGAAGCAGUCUAAAAAGCCAUCCAGUUGGAUGAUCAGGGACGAGAUAAGCCUGGCCCAGUUCUUUGGUGUCUUGAACCAAAACCCUCAUCCUAGAAUUCUUAGUGUGAAAAAGAUGUGGAUAGGUUUUGACCUGCAUUGCAAGAAAGGAUACAUCCCAGAUACAGCACCAAGACCAAGAGAAGGGAACUCCCUUCCCUUGACGAAGCUAGUGAAUAUCCAUUGAGAGAUAGAUAGCCUUAGAUAAUAGUAUGGAGACAUGAGUAGCUUCAGAGACAGGAAGGAGGCCUGGUUUCAAAUGAUGCCUUUGACACCUACUAACUGAGUGGUGCCAAAUAAGUCCCUAGUGGCUCAGAGAAUUCUCCAAGUCUCUAAGUUACAAAAGAGUUGCCUAUCCACACCUAUUAAGAGAAUUAGCACACUGGAACAUCCAUGGAUAAAAUUACAAGUCUUGCCUCCUUGCUCCCAUCACCAUUGAUAUUUUCCUAUUGCAAUAAACAUAUUGAACACUUCGGCAGCAGGUAGGGUUAUCCACACAUAGACUGGACAGCAGGAUUUACUCAUAGGUCCUUAUCGUGGGAAAGAACUUUGUUUUUUUUUCUUUUUGGGUGCCCCUUGGAAAUGCCUCUUCAGUCUUUUGGAUGUGUUUCCACUGUGGAAAGGAAUGGCAUGAGCUCAGUACAUUGGACUGGGCAAUGGGUCUGCUGAAGAAGAUAUCCUGAAAAGUUUAAAAGCUUAGAAAACAAGCUGGAGGCUGGAAUUCAAUUCUGUCUAUGAAGUCCUUUGUAAGAAAGUGAAUAGAAAUGAAGAAAAUAAAAGAGAACAUUUAGGACAAAAGGUGAGGCCCACGGUGAGAUGGCUUAGGUGUGUUGAUACAGGGAUCCAGGCUGAUGUUCCUCUUGGUCAUCCUGGCUCUCUUGGGUCUCCUGGGCCUUAAUCACCUGUUUCUUGCCGUGGAUGUCUUGCUUCGACUCUGGGCCACCAUCCUUCAGGAAGAGACCCUGGAACUUUUCAGCCAUUUGGUCAGAACUUCUCAGUUUGACUAGUCAAGUUCUCUCUUCCUUGGGUUCAUGUGUCUUUUCACAUCCUUUUUGAAUUCCUGGAAUUUUGCCUUCAACCUGGGGGCUUGUUGUGCACUCCGGAAUCAGCUGGCCAACAGCUCUGGCGUUGGACUUUGAUGGGCAGUUAGGCUGUGUGUCCCAAACCAAGUCCCAUCACUGCCCUAACCGGGCUUCAGCUCCACCAGUGGGGUUCCUGAGUCAUUGGCUCUUCAGAGACUUGUCCCAGCUCCCGAGGAGACCAAUUGUCCCUGUGUCCUUGUGUCUCAGCAGCUUCCCAUCAGCCGUCCAUGCUCUUUCCACUGGGGAAGGUCAUUGUGAGAGGCAAAGGGGAGCAGCUUGUUCCACCUUCCAGAUCUCUUCUUCAUCUGCCUGACUGCAGGGUCUUCAUGUCCUACUCAGACAGACAGACAGACCACGGGCUGUAACUGGGGAUCCUGCUUGCCUUCCUCCAGGCUGUUGCUGGUGGAAUCCUGCUCAAUCAGAGAUUCCUUGGUAGAGGCCAUCAGAAGGGGAAAGGAGGGGGUGGUGAUGCCACAGCGGCGUCAGCAAUGGUUGCUCCCAGUGACGCGAAGGCGGAGGGUGCAGCCAUUGUGGCGCUCUGUUGGCCCUAGUGCUUAAGUAGGCUGAGUCUCGCUACUGCUCGCACAUGCGCGAGACACUCCGGCCCCCCAACCCGGCUGCCAGGGGACUGGAAAGGGCUUGGAAGAGAUGCGCUAAUCCAAACGUUUCAUUUUUAGGAGAGGGGGAAAAUGGAGGCCUGGACAGAAGGGAUUCAUUGCACUUGACUCCGGGAGCCAAUGGGAGAGCUAAGUCCAGAGCAUUGGUGAAAUUGGGAGGGAAAUGAUAAGGGUGCCGACAUCCCAGCUUGAAUCCCGCCUAGGAAUCAGAGUUCCUGUGUGGGAUGGCUCAAGUCUGGGAUAUGGGGACGGGGGAAGGGACAGCACUGGUUGAGGUCAUGGUCCAAAGCCAUUGGCCAAGGAAAGGAUCCCCAGGGAGGAGAUUCGGUUUGCAAAGCUCCUGGGGAAGAGGAAUUGGGGCUCUUUGCUUCCUGAUCUCUCUCUCAACUAACUCUGCCUGUUGACUAGUGCUCUGUCUGGGACCUGAACCCAACUCGGGUGGGAAAGACUGAAACCCCAAGUUUCACCUCUGAUCUUUCCUAAGGACAGCUUUUCAGUCCAGUCCCACUUUCUAAUCUGAUUUCAGACCCUUCCUAGCUGGGUGACCGUGGGCAAAUCACUUCACCUCCAUUGCCCGGCCCUGACCACUCUCCUGCCUGAGAACCAAUACUCAGCAUUGAAUGGAAGAUGCAAGGUAAAGGGGGGAAUGAAAGCUACAAAUCCCUUCUGGAAGUAUUCUAGGAAUCAGCUUCAAGCUCACCAAGAGCCUUCUUCUUCCCUUGGAUCUCCUGCUUAGCCUCUGCGCCACCAUCCUUCACCCAGAUUUCCUUGAACUUCUCCGCCAUGUGGUCAGAAUUUCUCUCUUUGACUAGUCAAGCUUUCUCUUCCUGGGCUUCUUCUUUCCUUUCUUUUGUUUCUUGUCAUCUCCUUCUUGUAUUUCUGGAAUUUUGCCUUCAACCUGUGAACAUUUUGUGCACUCAGGCAUCUGUUGGCCAGCAGCCGCCCUGGCUUUGGACUUUGAUGGGCAGAGUGAGGCUGUGUGUUCCCAACACAAGCCCCUUCACUACCCGCACUGGGCUUCAGCUCCAGCAGUGGGGUUCUGGAGUGAUUGGCACAGCUCUUCAGAGACUUGUCCUGGCUUCUGAGGAGGACAAUUGUCCUUCUGUCCUUGUGUCUCAGCAGCUUCCCAAGAGCCGUUCCUGCUCUUUCCAUUGGGGAAGGUCAUUGUGAGAGGCAAAGGGGAGCGGCUUGGCUCCCACCUUCCAGAGCUCUUCUUCCUCUGCCUGCCUGCAGGGUCUUCAUGCCCUGCUCAGCAGACAGACAACGGGCUGAAACUGGGGAUCCUGCUUGCUGUCCUCCAGGCUGUCAGCGGUGGAAUCCUGCUCCUCCUGAGGUUCCUUGGUAGAGACCAUCAGAAGGGGAAGGGGUGGCCCGAUGUGGAAGAAGCGUCAGCAAUGGUUGCUCCCAGUGACCUGAAGGCAAAGGGGGCAGCCGUUGUGGCAGCUCUGGUGGCCCUCGCGCUGAGUUUCCUUCCAACUCGCGCAGGCUCGAGAGCGCAGGCAUGCGCGCAAGCCUAGCCCUGUCUGCCUGGCUGCUGUGGCAGUGGGAAAGUGCUUGGAAGAGAUCUCCUAAUUCACACACUUCCUUUUGUAGGAGAAGGGAAAAAAUGGAGGCCAGGACAGAAGUGACUCAUUGCACGUGACUCCGGGAGCCAAUGGGAGAGCUAAGUCCAGAGCACUGGUGAAAGUGGGAGGGAAAUCAUGAGGAGACCUCCAUCCCAGCUUGAAUCCCGCCUAUGAAUCAGAGUCCUGUGUCAUGGCCAAACUCUGGGAUUUGGGGACCGGCGAGGGGGGGGGAGGGAAAGUACUAGUGGAGGUCAAGCUCCAAAGCCAUUGGCCAGUUAAAGGAUCCUCAGGGAGCAGAUUAGGUUUGCAAAGCAAGUGGGGGAAGAGGAAUGGGGCUCUUUGCUUCCUGACUCAUCUCUCAACUAACUCUGCCUCUGGGCUAGUGCUCUGUCUGGGACCUAAACCCAACUUGGGUGGCAAAGGCUGGAACCCCAAGUGUCUUCUCUUCUCUUUCCUAAUGAGUGCUUCUCAAUGGAGACCAACAUUCUAAUCUGAUUUCAGACCCUUCCUAGCUAUGUUACUCUGGGCAGAUCACUUCACCCCCAUUGCCCAGCCCUGACCACUCUCUCCUGCCUGAGAAACAAUACACAGAAUUGAUUGGAAAAUGGAAGGUAAGGGGGUGGGGGGACAAAAACUACAAAUCCCUUCAGGAAGUAUUCUAGGAAUCAACUUCAAGUUCACCCAGCUAUUGUUUCCAUGAGACAUUUUUCUUCCUUUGGUUCCCAACCAGGGCAGACUUUCAUGUCUUCUCUCUUCUUGUCCUUCUCCAUGGUUCUGCAAAGAUCUGCUAAUUUUGGAAGAAGCCUAGUAAGGGAAGCUGAUUUGAUCAGUGGAUAGAGAAUCAGGCCUAAUGACUGGAGGCUCAAAUCCAGCCUGGGACACUUCCUUCCUGCGUGACCCUGGGCAAAUCACUUCAUCUCUUGCCAAGCCCUUCCUUACUACUUUUGUGCUUUAGACCCACAUACAGAAUUGGUUUUGAGAUGGAAGGGAAGGUUUUUUCCAAAAAAUAAUGAACUUUUUUAACUCAAUAUUUAUCUGGGGAGAUUUAAAUGCAAAGAACCCAAAUGGUAGAUGACCCAAAGUAUCUUGGAAAGAUGCAUGGUAGGUAUCGAUGAGCUGUACUAGAGAUGAUUUGAGUGCAAGAAGCAGUCUAAAAAGCCAUCCAGUUGGAUGAUCAGGGACGAGAUAAGCCUGGCCCAGUUCUUUGGUGUCUUGAACCAAAACCCUCAUCCUAGAAUUCUUAGUGUGAAAAAGAUGUGGAUAGGUUUUGACCUGCAUUGCAAGAAAGGAUACAUCCCAGAUACAGCACCAAGACCAAGAGAAGGGAACUCCCUUCCCUUGACGAAGCUAGUGAAUAUCCAUUGAGAGAUAGAUAGCCUUAGAUAAUAGUAUGGAGACAUGAGUAGCUUCAGAGACAGGAAGGAGGCCUGGUUUCAAAUGAUGCCUUUGACACCUACUAACUGAGUGGUGCCAAAUAAGUCCCUAGUGGCUCAGAGAAUUCUCCAAGUCUCUAAGUUACAAAAGAGUUGCCUAUCCACACCUAUUAAGAGAAUUAGCACACUGGAACAUCCAUGGAUAAAAUUACAAGUCUUGCCUCCUUGCUCCCAUCACCAUUGAUAUUUUCCUAUUGCAAUAAACAUAUUGAACACUUCGGCAGCAGGUAGGGUUAUCCACACAUAGACUGGACAGCAGGAUUUACUCAUAGGUCCUUAUCGUGGGAAAGAACUUUGUUUUUUUUUCUUUUUGGGUGCCCCUUGGAAAUGCCUCUUCAGUCUUUUGGAUGUGUUUCCACUGUGGAAAGGAAUGGCAUGAGCUCAGUACAUUGGACUGGGCAAUGGGUCUGCUGAAGAAGAUAUCCUGAAAAGUUUAAAAGCUUAGAAAACAAGCUGGAGGCUGGAAUUCAAUUCUGUCUAUGAAGUCCUUUGUAAGAAAGUGAAUAGAAAUGAAGAAAAUAAAAGAGAACAUUUAGGACAAAAGGUGAGGCCCACGGUGAGAUGGCUUAGGUGUGUUGAUACAGGGAUCCAGGCUGAUGUUCCUCUUGGUCAUCCUGGCUCUCUUGGGUCUCCUGGGCCUUAAUCACCUGUUUCUUGCCGUGGAUGUCUUGCUUCGACUCUGGGCCACCAUCCUUCAGGAAGAGACCCUGGAACUUUUCAGCCAUUUGGUCAGAACUUCUCAGUUUGACUAGUCAAGUUCUCUCUUCCUUGGGUUCAUGUGUCUUUUCACAUCCUUUUUGAAUUCCUGGAAUUUUGCCUUCAACCUGGGGGCUUGUUGUGCACUCCGGAAUCAGCUGGCCAACAGCUCUGGCGUUGGACUUUGAUGGGCAGUUAGGCUGUGUGUCCCAAACCAAGUCCCAUCACUGCCCUAACCGGGCUUCAGCUCCACCAGUGGGGUUCCUGAGUCAUUGGCUCUUCAGAGACUUGUCCCAGCUCCCGAGGAGACCAAUUGUCCCUGUGUCCUUGUGUCUCAGCAGCUUCCCAUCAGCCGUCCAUGCUCUUUCCACUGGGGAAGGUCAUUGUGAGAGGCAAAGGGGAGCAGCUUGUUCCACCUUCCAGAUCUCUUCUUCAUCUGCCUGACUGCAGGGUCUUCAUGUCCUACUCAGACAGACAGACAGACCACGGGCUGUAACUGGGGAUCCUGCUUGCCUUCCUCCAGGCUGUUGCUGGUGGAAUCCUGCUCAAUCAGAGAUUCCUUGGUAGAGGCCAUCAGAAGGGGAAAGGAGGGGGUGGUGAUGCCACAGCGGCGUCAGCAAUGGUUGCUCCCAGUGACGCGAAGGCGGAGGGUGCAGCCAUUGUGGCGCUCUGUUGGCCCUAGUGCUUAAGUAGGCUGAGUCUCGCUACUGCUCGCACAUGCGCGAGACACUCCGGCCCCCCAACCCGGCUGCCAGGGGACUGGAAAGGGCUUGGAAGAGAUGCGCUAAUCCAAACGUUUCAUUUUUAGGAGAGGGGGAAAAUGGAGGCCUGGACAGAAGGGAUUCAUUGCACUUGACUCCGGGAGCCAAUGGGAGAGCUAAGUCCAGAGCAUUGGUGAAAUUGGGAGGGAAAUGAUAAGGGUGCCGACAUCCCAGCUUGAAUCCCGCCUAGGAAUCAGAGUUCCUGUGUGGGAUGGCUCAAGUCUGGGAUAUGGGGACGGGGGAAGGGACAGCACUGGUUGAGGUCAUGGUCCAAAGCCAUUGGCCAAGGAAAGGAUCCCCAGGGAGGAGAUUCGGUUUGCAAAGCUCCUGGGGAAGAGGAAUUGGGGCUCUUUGCUUCCUGAUCUCUCUCUCAACUAACUCUGCCUGUUGACUAGUGCUCUGUCUGGGACCUGAACCCAACUCGGGUGGGAAAGACUGAAACCCCAAGUUUCACCUCUGAUCUUUCCUAAGGACAGCUUUUCAGUCCAGUCCCACUUUCUAAUCUGAUUUCAGACCCUUCCUAGCUGGGUGACCGUGGGCAAAUCACUUCACCUCCAUUGCCCGGCCCUGACCACUCUCCUGCCUGAGAACCAAUACUCAGCAUUGAAUGGAAGAUGCAAGGUAAAGGGGGGAAUGAAAGCUACAAAUCCCUUCUGGAAGUAUUCUAGGAAUCAGCUUCAAGCUCACCAAGAGCCUUCUUCUUCCCUUGGAUCUCCUGCUUAGCCUCUGCGCCACCAUCCUUCACCCAGAUUUCCUUGAACUUCUCCGCCAUGUGGUCAGAAUUUCUCUCUUUGACUAGUCAAGCUUUCUCUUCCUGGGCUUCUUCUUUCCUUUCUUUUGUUUCUUGUCAUCUCCUUCUUGUAUUUCUGGAAUUUUGCCUUCAACCUGUGAACAUUUUGUGCACUCAGGCAUCUGUUGGCCAGCAGCCGCCCUGGCUUUGGACUUUGAUGGGCAGAGUGAGGCUGUGUGUUCCCAACACAAGCCCCUUCACUACCCGCACUGGGCUUCAGCUCCAGCAGUGGGGUUCUGGAGUGAUUGGCACAGCUCUUCAGAGACUUGUCCUGGCUUCUGAGGAGGACAAUUGUCCUUCUGUCCUUGUGUCUCAGCAGCUUCCCAAGAGCCGUUCCUGCUCUUUCCAUUGGGGAAGGUCAUUGUGAGAGGCAAAGGGGAGCGGCUUGGCUCCCACCUUCCAGAGCUCUUCUUCCUCUGCCUGCCUGCAGGGUCUUCAUGCCCUGCUCAGCAGACAGACAACGGGCUGAAACUGGGGAUCCUGCUUGCUGUCCUCCAGGCUGUGGGCUGUGGAAUCCUGCUCCUCCUGAGGUUCCUUGGUAGAGACCAUCAGAAGGGGAAGGGGUGGCCCGAUGUGGAAGAAGCGUCAGCAAUGGUUGCUCCCAGUGACCUGAAGGCAAAGGGGGCAGCCGUUGUGGCAGCUCUGGUGGCCCUCGCGCUGAGUUUCCUUCCAACUCGCGCAGGCUCGAGAGUGCAGGCAUGCGCGCAAGCCUAGCCCUGUCUGCCUGGCUGCUGUGGCAGUGGGAAAGUGCUUGGAAGAGAUCUCCUAAUUCACACACUUCCUUUUGUAGGAGAAGGGAAAAAAUGGAGGCCAGGACAGAAGUGACUCAUUGCACGUGACUCCGGGAGCCAAUGGGAGAGCUAAGUCCAGAGCACUGGUGAAAGUGGGAGGGAAAUCAUGAGGAGACCUCCAUCCCAGCUUGAAUCCCGCCUAUGAAUCAGAGUCCUGUGUCAUGGCCAAACUCUGGGAUUUGGGGACCGGCGAGGGGGGGGGAGGGAAAGUACUAGUGGAGGUCAAGCUCCAAAGCCAUUGGCCAGUUAAAGGAUCCUCAGGGAGCAGAUUAGGUUUGCAAAGCAAGUGGGGGAAGAGGAAUGGGGCUCUUUGCUUCCUGACUCAUCUCUCAACUAACUCUGCCUCUGGGCUAGUGCUCUGUCUGGGACCUAAACCCAACUUGGGUGGCAAAGGCUGGAACCCCAAGUGUCUUCUCUUCUCUUUCCUAAUGAGUGCUUCUCAAUGGAGACCAACAUUCUAAUCUGAUUUCAGACCCUUCCUAGCUAUGUUACUCUGGGCAGAUCACUUCACCCCCAUUGCCCAGCCCUGACCACUCUCUCCUGCCUGAGAAACAAUACACAGAAUUGAUUGGAAAAUGGAAGGUAAGGGGGGGGGGACAAAAACUACAAAUCCCUUCAGGAAGUAUUCUAGGAAUCAGUUUCAAGCUCACCAGCUAUUGUUUCCAUGAGACAUUUUUCUUCCUUUGGUUCCCAACCAGGGCAGACUUUCAUGUCUUCUCUCUUCUUGUCCUUCUCCAUGGUUCUGCAAAGAUCUGCUAAUUUUGGAAGAAGCCUAGUAAGGGAAGCUGAUUUGAUCAGUGGAUAGAGAAUCAGGCCUAAUGACUGGAGGCUCAAAUCCAGCCUGGGACACUUCCUUCCUGCGUGACCCUGGGCAAAUCACUUCAUCUCUUGCCAAGCCCUUCCUUACUACUUUUGUGCUUUAGACCCACAUACAGAAUUGGUUUUGAGAUGGAAGGGAAGGUUUUUUCCAAAAAAUAAUGAACUUUUUUAACUCAAUAUUUAUCUGGGGAGAUUUAAAUGCAAAGAACCCAAAUGGUAGAUGACCCAAAGUAUCUUGGAAAGAUGCAUGGUAGGUAUCGAUGAGCUGUACUAGAGAUGAUUUGAGUGCAAGAAGCAGUCUAAAAAGCCAUCCAGUUGGAUGAUCAGGGACGAGAUAAGCCUGGCCCAGUUCUUUGGUGUCUUGAACCAAAACCCUCAUCCUAGAAUUCUUAGUGUGAAAAAGAUGUGGAUAGGUUUUGACCUGCAUUGCAAGAAAGGAUACAUCCCAGAUACAGCACCAAGACCAAGAGAAGGGAACUCCCUUCCCUUGACGAAGCUAGUGAAUAUCCAUUGAGAGAUAGAUAGCCUUAGAUAAUAGUAUGGAGACAUGAGUAGCUUCAGAGACAGGAAGGAGGCCUGGUUUCAAAUGAUGCCUUUGACACCUACUAACUGAGUGGUGCCAAAUAAGUCCCUAGUGGCUCAGAGAAUUCUCCAAGUCUCUAAGUUACAAAAGAGUUGCCUAUCCACACCUAUUAAGAGAAUUAGCACACUGGAACAUCCAUGGAUAAAAUUACAAGUCUUGCCUCCUUGCUCCCAUCACCAUUGAUAUUUUCCUAUUGCAAUAAACAUAUUGAACACUUCGGCAGCAGGUAGGGUUAUCCACACAUAGACUGGACAGCAGGAUUUACUCAUAGGUCCUUAUCGUGGGAAAGAACUUUGUUUUUUUUUCUUUUUGGGUGCCCCUUGGAAAUGCCUCUUCAGUCUUUUGGAUGUGUUUCCACUGUGGAAAGGAAUGGCAUGAGCUCAGUACAUUGGACUGGGCAAUGGGUCUGCUGAAGAAGAUAUCCUGAAAAGUUUAAAAGCUUAGAAAACAAGCUGGAGGCUGGAAUUCAAUUCUGUCUAUGAAGUCCUUUGUAAGAAAGUGAAUAGAAAUGAAGAAAAUAAAAGAGAACAUUUAGGACAAAAGGUGAGGCCCACGGUGAGAUGGCUUAGGUGUGUUGAUACAGGGAUCCAGGCUGAUGUUCCUCUUGGUCAUCCUGGCUCUCUUGGGUCUCCUGGGCCUUAAUCACCUGUUUCUUGCCGUGGAUGUCUUGCUUCGACUCUGGGCCACCAUCCUUCAGGAAGAGACCCUGGAACUUUUCAGCCAUUUGGUCAGAACUUCUCAGUUUGACUAGUCAAGUUCUCUCUUCCUUGGGUUCAUGUGUCUUUUCACAUCCUUUUUGAAUUCCUGGAAUUUUGCCUUCAACCUGGGGGCUUGUUGUGCACUCCGGAAUCAGCUGGCCAACAGCUCUGGCGUUGGACUUUGAUGGGCAGUUAGGCUGUGUGUCCCAAACCAAGUCCCAUCACUGCCCUAACCGGGCUUCAGCUCCACCAGUGGGGUUCCUGAGUCAUUGGCUCUUCAGAGACUUGUCCCAGCUCCCGAGGAGACCAAUUGUCCCUGUGUCCUUGUGUCUCAGCAGCUUCCCAUCAGCCGUCCAUGCUCUUUCCACUGGGGAAGGUCAUUGUGAGAGGCAAAGGGGAGCAGCUUGUUCCACCUUCCAGAUCUCUUCUUCAUCUGCCUGACUGCAGGGUCUUCAUGUCCUACUCAGACAGACAGACAGACCACGGGCUGUAACUGGGGAUCCUGCUUGCCUUCCUCCAGGCUGUUGCUGGUGGAAUCCUGCUCAAUCAGAGAUUCCUUGGUAGAGGCCAUCAGAAGGGGAAAGGAGGGGGUGGUGAUGCCACAGCGGCGUCAGCAAUGGUUGCUCCCAGUGACGCGAAGGCGGAGGGUGCAGCCAUUGUGGCGCUCUGUUGGCCCUAGUGCUUAAGUAGGCUGAGUCUCGCUACUGCUCGCACAUGCGCGAGACACUCCGGCCCCCCAACCCGGCUGCCAGGGGACUGGAAAGGGCUUGGAAGAGAUGCGCUAAUCCAAACGUUUCAUUUUUAGGAGAGGGGGAAAAUGGAGGCCUGGACAGAAGGGAUUCAUUGCACUUGACUCCGGGAGCCAAUGGGAGAGCUAAGUCCAGAGCAUUGGUGAAAUUGGGAGGGAAAUGAUAAGGGUGCCGACAUCCCAGCUUGAAUCCCGCCUAGGAAUCAGAGUUCCUGUGUGGGAUGGCUCAAGUCUGGGAUAUGGGGACGGGGGAAGGGACAGCACUGGUUGAGGUCAUGGUCCAAAGCCAUUGGCCAAGGAAAGGAUCCCCAGGGAGGAGAUUCGGUUUGCAAAGCUCCUGGGGAAGAGGAAUUGGGGCUCUUUGCUUCCUGAUCUCUCUCUCAACUAACUCUGCCUGUUGACUAGUGCUCUGUCUGGGACCUGAACCCAACUCGGGUGGGAAAGACUGAAACCCCAAGUUUCACCUCUGAUCUUUCCUAAGGACAGCUUUUCAGUCCAGUCCCACUUUCUAAUCUGAUUUCAGACCCUUCCUAGCUGGGUGACCGUGGGCAAAUCACUUCACCUCCAUUGCCCGGCCCUGACCACUCUCCUGCCUGAGAACCAAUACUCAGCAUUGAAUGGAAGAUGCAAGGUAAAGGGGGGAAUGAAAGCUACAAAUCCCUUCUGGAAGUAUUCUAGGAAUCAGCUUCAAGCUCACCAAGAGCCUUCUUCUUCCCUUGGAUCUCCUGCUUAGCCUCUGCGCCACCAUCCUUCACCCAGAUUUCCUUGAACUUCUCCGCCAUGUGGUCAGAAUUUCUCUCUUUGACUAGUCAAGCUUUCUCUUCCUGGGCUUCUUCUUUCCUUUCUUUUGUUUCUUGUCAUCUCCUUCUUGUAUUUCUGGAAUUUUGCCUUCAACCUGUGAACAUUUUGUGCACUCAGGCAUCUGUUGGCCAGCAGCCGCCCUGGCUUUGGACUUUGAUGGGCAGAGUGAGGCUGUGUGUUCCCAACACAAGCCCCUUCACUACCCGCACUGGGCUUCAGCUCCAGCAGUGGGGUUCUGGAGUGAUUGGCACAGCUCUUCAGAGACUUGUCCUGGCUUCUGAGGAGGACAAUUGUCCUUCUGUCCUUGUGUCUCAGCAGCUUCCCAAGAGCCGUUCCUGCUCUUUCCAUUGGGGAAGGUCAUUGUGAGAGGCAAAGGGGAGCGGCUUGGCUCCCACCUUCCAGAGCUCUUCUUCCUCUGCCUGCCUGCAGGGUCUUCAUGCCCUGCUCAGCAGACAGACAACGGGCUGAAACUGGGGAUCCUGCUUGCUGUCCUCCAGGCUGUCAGCGGUGGAAUCCUGCUCCUCCUGAGGUUCCUUGGUAGAGACCAUCAGAAGGGGAAGGGGUGGCCCGAUGUGGAAGAAGCGUCAGCAAUGGUUGCUCCCAGUGACCUGAAGGCAAAGGGGGCAGCCGUUGUGGCAGCUCUGGUGGCCCUCGCGCUGAGUUUCCUUCCAACUCGCGCAGGCUCGAGAGCGCAGGCAUGCGCGCAAGCCUAGCCCUGUCUGCCUGGCUGCUGUGGCAGUGGGAAAGUGCUUGGAAGAGAUCUCCUAAUUCACACACUUCCUUUUGUAGGAGAAGGGAAAAAAUGGAGGCCAGGACAGAAGUGACUCAUUGCACGUGACUCCGGGAGCCAAUGGGAGAGCUAAGUCCAGAGCACUGGUGAAAGUGGGAGGGAAAUCAUGAGGAGACCUCCAUCCCAGCUUGAAUCCCGCCUAUGAAUCAGAGUCCUGUGUCAUGGCCAAACUCUGGGAUUUGGGGACCGGCGAGGGGGGGGGAGGGAAAGUACUAGUGGAGGUCAAGCUCCAAAGCCAUUGGCCAGUUAAAGGAUCCUCAGGGAGCAGAUUAGGUUUGCAAAGCAAGUGGGGGAAGAGGAAUGGGGCUCUUUGCUUCCUGACUCAUCUCUCAACUAACUCUGCCUCUGGGCUAGUGCUCUGUCUGGGACCUAAACCCAACUUGGGUGGCAAAGGCUGGAACCCCAAGUGUCUUCUCUUCUCUUUCCUAAUGAGUGCUUCUCAAUGGAGACCAACAUUCUAAUCUGAUUUCAGACCCUUCCUAGCUAUGUUACUCUGGGCAGAUCACUUCACCCCCAUUGCCCAGCCCUGACCACUCUCUCCUGCCUGAGAAACAAUACACAGAAUUGAUUGGAAAAUGGAAGGUAAGGGGGUGGGGGGACAAAAACUACAAAUCCCUUCAGGAAGUAUUCUAGGAAUCAACUUCAAGUUCACCCAGCUAUUGUUUCCAUGAGACAUUUUUCUUCCUUUGGUUCCCAACCAGGGCAGACUUUCAUGUCUUCUCUCUUCUUGUCCUUCUCCAUGGUUCUGCAAAGAUCUGCUAAUUUUGGAAGAAGCCUAGUAAGGGAAGCUGAUUUGAUCAGUGGAUAGAGAAUCAGGCCUAAUGACUGGAGGCUCAAAUCCAGCCUGGGACACUUCCUUCCUGCGUGACCCUGGGCAAAUCACUUCAUCUCUUGCCAAGCCCUUCCUUACUACUUUUGUGCUUUAGACCCACAUACAGAAUUGGUUUUGAGAUGGAAGGGAAGGUUUUUUCCAAAAAAUAAUGAACUUUUUUAACUCAAUAUUUAUCUGGGGAGAUUUAAAUGCAAAGAACCCAAAUGGUAGAUGACCCAAAGUAUCUUGGAAAGAUGCAUGGUAGGUAUCGAUGAGCUGUACUAGAGAUGAUUUGAGUGCAAGAAGCAGUCUAAAAAGCCAUCCAGUUGGAUGAUCAGGGACGAGAUAAGCCUGGCCCAGUUCUUUGGUGUCUUGAACCAAAACCCUCAUCCUAGAAUUCUUAGUGUGAAAAAGAUGUGGAUAGGUUUUGACCUGCAUUGCAAGAAAGGAUACAUCCCAGAUACAGCACCAAGACCAAGAGAAGGGAACUCCCUUCCCUUGACGAAGCUAGUGAAUAUCCAUUGAGAGAUAGAUAGCCUUAGAUAAUAGUAUGGAGACAUGAGUAGCUUCAGAGACAGGAAGGAGGCCUGGUUUCAAAUGAUGCCUUUGACACCUACUAACUGAGUGGUGCCAAAUAAGUCCCUAGUGGCUCAGAGAAUUCUCCAAGUCUCUAAGUUACAAAAGAGUUGCCUAUCCACACCUAUUAAGAGAAUUAGCACACUGGAACAUCCAUGGAUAAAAUUACAAGUCUUGCCUCCUUGCUCCCAUCACCAUUGAUAUUUUCCUAUUGCAAUAAACAUAUUGAACACUUCGGCAGCAGGUAGGGUUAUCCACACAUAGACUGGACAGCAGGAUUUACUCAUAGGUCCUUAUCGUGGGAAAGAACUUUGUUUUUUUUUCUUUUUGGGUGCCCCUUGGAAAUGCCUCUUCAGUCUUUUGGAUGUGUUUCCACUGUGGAAAGGAAUGGCAUGAGCUCAGUACAUUGGACUGGGCAAUGGGUCUGCUGAAGAAGAUAUCCUGAAAAGUUUAAAAGCUUAGAAAACAAGCUGGAGGCUGGAAUUCAAUUCUGUCUAUGAAGUCCUUUGUAAGAAAGUGAAUAGAAAUGAAGAAAAUAAAAGAGAACAUUUAGGACAAAAGGUGAGGCCCACGGUGAGAUGGCUUAGGUGUGUUGAUACAGGGAUCCAGGCUGAUGUUCCUCUUGGUCAUCCUGGCUCUCUUGGGUCUCCUGGGCCUUAAUCACCUGUUUCUUGCCGUGGAUGUCUUGCUUCGACUCUGGGCCACCAUCCUUCAGGAAGAGACCCUGGAACUUUUCAGCCAUUUGGUCAGAACUUCUCAGUUUGACUAGUCAAGUUCUCUCUUCCUUGGGUUCAUGUGUCUUUUCACAUCCUUUUUGAAUUCCUGGAAUUUUGCCUUCAACCUGGGGGCUUGUUGUGCACUCCGGAAUCAGCUGGCCAACAGCUCUGGCGUUGGACUUUGAUGGGCAGUUAGGCUGUGUGUCCCAAACCAAGUCCCAUCACUGCCCUAACCGGGCUUCAGCUCCACCAGUGGGGUUCCUGAGUCAUUGGCUCUUCAGAGACUUGUCCCAGCUCCCGAGGAGACCAAUUGUCCCUGUGUCCUUGUGUCUCAGCAGCUUCCCAUCAGCCGUCCAUGCUCUUUCCACUGGGGAAGGUCAUUGUGAGAGGCAAAGGGGAGCAGCUUGUUCCACCUUCCAGAUCUCUUCUUCAUCUGCCUGACUGCAGGGUCUUCAUGUCCUACUCAGACAGACAGACAGACCACGGGCUGUAACUGGGGAUCCUGCUUGCCUUCCUCCAGGCUGUUGCUGGUGGAAUCCUGCUCAAUCAGAGAUUCCUUGGUAGAGGCCAUCAGAAGGGGAAAGGAGGGGGUGGUGAUGCCACAGCGGCGUCAGCAAUGGUUGCUCCCAGUGACGCGAAGGCGGAGGGUGCAGCCAUUGUGGCGCUCUGUUGGCCCUAGUGCUUAAGUAGGCUGAGUCUCGCUACUGCUCGCACAUGCGCGAGACACUCCGGCCCCCCAACCCGGCUGCCAGGGGACUGGAAAGGGCUUGGAAGAGAUGCGCUAAUCCAAACGUUUCAUUUUUAGGAGAGGGGGAAAAUGGAGGCCUGGACAGAAGGGAUUCAUUGCACUUGACUCCGGGAGCCAAUGGGAGAGCUAAGUCCAGAGCAUUGGUGAAAUUGGGAGGGAAAUGAUAAGGGUGCCGACAUCCCAGCUUGAAUCCCGCCUAGGAAUCAGAGUUCCUGUGUGGGAUGGCUCAAGUCUGGGAUAUGGGGACGGGGGAAGGGACAGCACUGGUUGAGGUCAUGGUCCAAAGCCAUUGGCCAAGGAAAGGAUCCCCAGGGAGGAGAUUCGGUUUGCAAAGCUCCUGGGGAAGAGGAAUUGGGGCUCUUUGCUUCCUGAUCUCUCUCUCAACUAACUCUGCCUGUUGACUAGUGCUCUGUCUGGGACCUGAACCCAACUCGGGUGGGAAAGACUGAAACCCCAAGUUUCACCUCUGAUCUUUCCUAAGGACAGCUUUUCAGUCCAGUCCCACUUUCUAAUCUGAUUUCAGACCCUUCCUAGCUGGGUGACCGUGGGCAAAUCACUUCACCUCCAUUGCCCGGCCCUGACCACUCUCCUGCCUGAGAACCAAUACUCAGCAUUGAAUGGAAGAUGCAAGGUAAAGGGGGGAAUGAAAGCUACAAAUCCCUUCUGGAAGUAUUCUAGGAAUCAGCUUCAAGCUCACCAAGAGCCUUCUUCUUCCCUUGGAUCUCCUGCUUAGCCUCUGCGCCACCAUCCUUCACCCAGAUUUCCUUGAACUUCUCCGCCAUGUGGUCAGAAUUUCUCUCUUUAGUCAAGCUUUCUCUUCCUGGGCUUCUUCUUUCCUUUCUUUUGUUUCUUGUCAUCUCCUUCUUGUAUUUCUGGAAUUUUGCCUUCAACCUGUGAACAUUUUGUGCACUCAGGCAUCUGUUGGCCAGCAGCCGCCCUGGCUUUGGACUUUGAUGGGCAGAGUGAGGCUGUGUGUUCCCAACACAAGCCCCUUCACUACCCGCACUGGGCUUCAGCUCCAGCAGUGGGGUUCUGGAGUGAUUGGCACAGCUCUUCAGAGACUUGUCCUGGCUUCUGAGGAGGACAAUUGUCCUUCUGUCCUUGUGUCUCAGCAGCUUCCCAAGAGCCGUUCCUGCUCUUUCCAUUGGGGAAGGUCAUUGUGAGAGGCAAAGGGGAGCGGCUUGGCUCCCACCUUCCAGAGCUCUUCUUCCUCUGCCUGCCUGCAGGGUCUUCAUGCCCUGCUCAGCAGACAGACAACGGGCUGAAACUGGGGAUCCUGCUUGCUGUCCUCCAGGCUGUGGGCUGUGGAAUCCUGCUCCUCCUGAGGUUCCUUGGUAGAGACCAUCAGAAGGGGAAGGGGUGGCCCGAUGUGGAAGAAGCGUCAGCAAUGGUUGCUCCCAGUGACCUGAAGGCAAAGGGGGCAGCCGUUGUGGCAGCUCUGGUGGCCCUCGCGCUGAGUUUCCUUCCAACUCGCGCAGGCUCGAGAGUGCAGGCAUGCGCGCAAGCCUAGCCCUGUCUGCCUGGCUGCUGUGGCAGUGGGAAAGUGCUUGGAAGAGAUCUCCUAAUUCACACACUUCCUUUUGUAGGAGAAGGGAAAAAAUGGAGGCCAGGACAGAAGUGACUCAUUGCACGUGACUCCGGGAGCCAAUGGGAGAGCUAAGUCCAGAGCACUGGUGAAAGUGGGAGGGAAAUCAUGAGGAGACCUCCAUCCCAGCUUGAAUCCCGCCUAUGAAUCAGAGUCCUGUGUCAUGGCCAAACUCUGGGAUUUGGGGACCGGCGAGGGGGGGGGAGGGAAAGUACUAGUGGAGGUCAAGCUCCAAAGCCAUUGGCCAGUUAAAGGAUCCUCAGGGAGCAGAUUAGGUUUGCAAAGCAAGUGGGGGAAGAGGAAUGGGGCUCUUUGCUUCCUGACUCAUCUCUCAACUAACUCUGCCUCUGGGCUAGUGCUCUGUCUGGGACCUAAACCCAACUUGGGUGGCAAAGGCUGGAACCCCAAGUGUCUUCUCUUCUCUUUCCUAAUGAGUGCUUCUCAAUGGAGACCAACAUUCUAAUCUGAUUUCAGACCCUUCCUAGCUAUGUUACUCUGGGCAGAUCACUUCACCCCCAUUGCCCAGCCCUGACCACUCUCUCCUGCCUGAGAAACAAUACACAGAAUUGAUUGGAAAAUGGAAGGUAAGGGGGGGGGGACAAAAACUACAAAUCCCUUCAGGAAGUAUUCUAGGAAUCAGUUUCAAGCUCACCAGCUAUUGUUUCCAUGAGACAUUUUUCUUCCUUUGGUUCCCAACCAGGGCAGACUUUCAUGUCUUCUCUCUUCUUGUCCUUCUCCAUGGUUCUGCAAAGAUCUGCUAAUUUUGGAAGAAGCCUAGUAAGGGAAGCUGAUUUGAUCAGUGGAUAGAGAAUCAGGCCUAAUGACUGGAGGCUCAAAUCCAGCCUGGGACACUUCCUUCCUGCGUGACCCUGGGCAAAUCACUUCAUCUCUUGCCAAGCCCUUCCUUACUACUUUUGUGCUUUAGACCCACAUACAGAAUUGGUUUUGAGAUGGAAGGGAAGGUUUUUUCCAAAAAAUAAUGAACUUUUUUAACUCAAUAUUUAUCUGGGGAGAUUUAAAUGCAAAGAACCCAAAUGGUAGAUGACCCAAAGUAUCUUGGAAAGAUGCAUGGUAGGUAUCGAUGAGCUGUACUAGAGAUGAUUUGAGUGCAAGAAGCAGUCUAAAAAGCCAUCCAGUUGGAUGAUCAGGGACGAGAUAAGCCUGGCCCAGUUCUUUGGUGUCUUGAACCAAAACCCUCAUCCUAGAAUUCUUAGUGUGAAAAAGAUGUGGAUAGGUUUUGACCUGCAUUGCAAGAAAGGAUACAUCCCAGAUACAGCACCAAGACCAAGAGAAGGGAACUCCCUUCCCUUGACGAAGCUAGUGAAUAUCCAUUGAGAGAUAGAUAGCCUUAGAUAAUAGUAUGGAGACAUGAGUAGCUUCAGAGACAGGAAGGAGGCCUGGUUUCAAAUGAUGCCUUUGACACCUACUAACUGAGUGGUGCCAAAUAAGUCCCUAGUGGCUCAGAGAAUUCUCCAAGUCUCUAAGUUACAAAAGAGUUGCCUAUCCACACCUAUUAAGAGAAUUAGCACACUGGAACAUCCAUGGAUAAAAUUACAAGUCUUGCCUCCUUGCUCCCAUCACCAUUGAUAUUUUCCUAUUGCAAUAAACAUAUUGAACACUUCGGCAGCAGGUAGGGUUAUCCACACAUAGACUGGACAGCAGGAUUUACUCAUAGGUCCUUAUCGUGGGAAAGAACUUUGUUUUUUUUUCUUUUUGGGUGCCCCUUGGAAAUGCCUCUUCAGUCUUUUGGAUGUGUUUCCACUGUGGAAAGGAAUGGCAUGAGCUCAGUACAUUGGACUGGGCAAUGGGUCUGCUGAAGAAGAUAUCCUGAAAAGUUUAAAAGCUUAGAAAACAAGCUGGAGGCUGGAAUUCAAUUCUGUCUAUGAAGUCCUUUGUAAGAAAGUGAAUAGAAAUGAAGAAAAUAAAAGAGAACAUUUAGGACAAAAGGUGAGGCCCACGGUGAGAUGGCUUAGGUGUGUUGAUACAGGGAUCCAGGCUGAUGUUCCUCUUGGUCAUCCUGGCUCUCUUGGGUCUCCUGGGCCUUAAUCACCUGUUUCUUGCCGUGGAUGUCUUGCUUCGACUCUGGGCCACCAUCCUUCAGGAAGAGACCCUGGAACUUUUCAGCCAUUUGGUCAGAACUUCUCAGUUUGACUAGUCAAGUUCUCUCUUCCUUGGGUUCAUGUGUCUUUUCACAUCCUUUUUGAAUUCCUGGAAUUUUGCCUUCAACCUGGGGGCUUGUUGUGCACUCCGGAAUCAGCUGGCCAACAGCUCUGGCGUUGGACUUUGAUGGGCAGUUAGGCUGUGUGUCCCAAACCAAGUCCCAUCACUGCCCUAACCGGGCUUCAGCUCCACCAGUGGGGUUCCUGAGUCAUUGGCUCUUCAGAGACUUGUCCCAGCUCCCGAGGAGACCAAUUGUCCCUGUGUCCUUGUGUCUCAGCAGCUUCCCAUCAGCCGUCCAUGCUCUUUCCACUGGGGAAGGUCAUUGUGAGAGGCAAAGGGGAGCAGCUUGUUCCACCUUCCAGAUCUCUUCUUCAUCUGCCUGACUGCAGGGUCUUCAUGUCCUACUCAGACAGACAGACAGACCACGGGCUGUAACUGGGGAUCCUGCUUGCCUUCCUCCAGGCUGUUGCUGGUGGAAUCCUGCUCAAUCAGAGAUUCCUUGGUAGAGGCCAUCAGAAGGGGAAAGGAGGGGGUGGUGAUGCCACAGCGGCGUCAGCAAUGGUUGCUCCCAGUGACGCGAAGGCGGAGGGUGCAGCCAUUGUGGCGCUCUGUUGGCCCUAGUGCUUAAGUAGGCUGAGUCUCGCUACUGCUCGCACAUGCGCGAGACACUCCGGCCCCCCAACCCGGCUGCCAGGGGACUGGAAAGGGCUUGGAAGAGAUGCGCUAAUCCAAACGUUUCAUUUUUAGGAGAGGGGGAAAAUGGAGGCCUGGACAGAAGGGAUUCAUUGCACUUGACUCCGGGAGCCAAUGGGAGAGCUAAGUCCAGAGCAUUGGUGAAAUUGGGAGGGAAAUGAUAAGGGUGCCGACAUCCCAGCUUGAAUCCCGCCUAGGAAUCAGAGUUCCUGUGUGGGAUGGCUCAAGUCUGGGAUAUGGGGACGGGGGAAGGGACAGCACUGGUUGAGGUCAUGGUCCAAAGCCAUUGGCCAAGGAAAGGAUCCCCAGGGAGGAGAUUCGGUUUGCAAAGCUCCUGGGGAAGAGGAAUUGGGGCUCUUUGCUUCCUGAUCUCUCUCUCAACUAACUCUGCCUGUUGACUAGUGCUCUGUCUGGGACCUGAACCCAACUCGGGUGGGAAAGACUGAAACCCCAAGUUUCACCUCUGAUCUUUCCUAAGGACAGCUUUUCAGUCCAGUCCCACUUUCUAAUCUGAUUUCAGACCCUUCCUAGCUGGGUGACCGUGGGCAAAUCACUUCACCUCCAUUGCCCGGCCCUGACCACUCUCCUGCCUGAGAACCAAUACUCAGCAUUGAAUGGAAGAUGCAAGGUAAAGGGGGGAAUGAAAGCUACAAAUCCCUUCUGGAAGUAUUCUAGGAAUCAGCUUCAAGCUCACCAAGAGCCUUCUUCUUCCCUUGGAUCUCCUGCUUAGCCUCUGCGCCACCAUCCUUCACCCAGAUUUCCUUGAACUUCUCCGCCAUGUGGUCAGAAUUUCUCUCUUUGACUAGUCAAGCUUUCUCUUCCUGGGCUUCUUCUUUCCUUUCUUUUGUUUCUUGUCAUCUCCUUCUUGUAUUUCUGGAAUUUUGCCUUCAACCUGUGAACAUUUUGUGCACUCAGGCAUCUGUUGGCCAGCAGCCGCCCUGGCUUUGGACUUUGAUGGGCAGAGUGAGGCUGUGUGUUCCCAACACAAGCCCCUUCACUACCCGCACUGGGCUUCAGCUCCAGCAGUGGGGUUCUGGAGUGAUUGGCACAGCUCUUCAGAGACUUGUCCUGGCUUCUGAGGAGGACAAUUGUCCUUCUGUCCUUGUGUCUCAGCAGCUUCCCAAGAGCCGUUCCUGCUCUUUCCAUUGGGGAAGGUCAUUGUGAGAGGCAAAGGGGAGCGGCUUGGCUCCCACCUUCCAGAGCUCUUCUUCCUCUGCCUGCCUGCAGGGUCUUCAUGCCCUGCUCAGCAGACAGACAACGGGCUGAAACUGGGGAUCCUGCUUGCUGUCCUCCAGGCUGUCAGCGGUGGAAUCCUGCUCCUCCUGAGGUUCCUUGGUAGAGACCAUCAGAAGGGGAAGGGGUGGCCCGAUGUGGAAGAAGCGUCAGCAAUGGUUGCUCCCAGUGACCUGAAGGCAAAGGGGGCAGCCGUUGUGGCAGCUCUGGUGGCCCUCGCGCUGAGUUUCCUUCCAACUCGCGCAGGCUCGAGAGCGCAGGCAUGCGCGCAAGCCUAGCCCUGUCUGCCUGGCUGCUGUGGCAGUGGGAAAGUGCUUGGAAGAGAUCUCCUAAUUCACACACUUCCUUUUGUAGGAGAAGGGAAAAAAUGGAGGCCAGGACAGAAGUGACUCAUUGCACAUGACUCCGGGAGCCAAUGGGAGAGCUAAGUCCAGAGCACUGGUGAAAGUGGGAGGGAAAUCAUGAGGAGACCUCCAUCCCAGCUUGAAUCCCGCCUAUGAAUCAGAGUCCUGUGUCAUGGCCAAACUCUGGGAUUUGGGGACCGGCGAGGGGGGGGGAGGGAAAGUACUAGUGGAGGUCAAGCUCCAAAGCCAUUGGCCAGUUAAAGGAUCCUCAGGGAGCAGAUUAGGUUUGCAAAGCAAGUGGGGGAAGAGGAAUGGGGCUCUUUGCUUCCUGACUCAUCUCUCAACUAACUCUGCCUCUGGGCUAGUGCUCUGUCUGGGACCUAAACCCAACUUGGGUGGCAAAGGCUGGAACCCCAAGUGUCUUCUCUUCUCUUUCCUAAUGAGUGCUUCUCAAUGGAGACCAACAUUCUAAUCUGAUUUCAGACCCUUCCUAGCUAUGUUACUCUGGGCAGAUCGCUUCACCCCCAUUGCCCAGCCCUGACCACUCUCUCCUGCCUGAGAAACAAUACACAGAAUUGAUUGGAAAAUGGAAGGUAAGGGGGGGGGGACAAAAACUACAAAUCCCUUCAGGAAGUAUUCUAGGAAUCAGUUUCAAGCUCACCAGCUAUUGUUUCCAUGAGACAUUUUUCUUCCUUUGGUUCCCAACCAGGGCAGACUUUCAUGUCUUCUCUCUUCUUGUCCUUCUCCAUGGUUCUGCAAAGAUCUGCUAAUUUUGGAAGAAGCCUAGUAAGGGAAGCUGAUUUGAUCAGUGGAUAGAGAAUCAGGCCUAAUGACUGGAGGCUCAAAUCCAGCCUGGGACACUUCCUUCCUGCGUGACCCUGGGCAAAUCACUUCAUCUCUUGCCAAGCCCUUCCUUACUACUUUUGUGCUUUAGACCCACAUACAGAAUUGGUUUUAAGAUGGAAGGGAAGGUUUUUUCCAAAAAAUAAUGAACUUUUUUAACUCAAUAUUUAUCUGGGGAGAUUUAAAUGCAAAGAACCCAAAUGGUAGAUGACCCAAAGUAUCUUGGAAAGAUGCAUGGUAGGUAUCGAUGAGCUGUACUAGAGAUGAUUUGAGUGCAAGAAGCAGUCUAAAAAGCCAUCCAGUUGGAUGAUCAGGGACGAGAUAAGCCUGGCCCAGUUCUUUGGUGUCUUGAACCAAAACCCUCAUCCUAGAAUUCUUAGUGUGAAAAAGAUGUGGAUAGGUUUUGACCUGCAUUGCAAGAAAGGAUACAUCCCAGAUACAGCACCAAGACCAAGAGAAGGGAACUCCCUUCCCUUGACGAAGCUAGUGAAUAUCCAUUGAGAGAUAGAUAGCCUUAGAUAAUAGUAUGGAGACAUGAGUAGCUUCAGAGACAGGAAGGAGGCCUGGUUUCAAAUGAUGCCUUUGACACCUACUAACUGAGUGGUGCCAAAUAAGUCCCUAGUGGCUCAGAGAAUUCUCCAAGUCUCUAAGUUACAAAAGAGUUGCCUAUCCACACCUAUUAAGAGAAUUAGCACACUGGAACAUCCAUGGAUAAAAUUACAAGUCUUGCCUCCUUGCUCCCAUCACCAUUGAUAUUUUCCUAUUGCAAUAAACAUAUUGAACACUUCGGCAGCAGGUAGGGUUAUCCACACAUAGACUGGACAGCAGGAUUUACUCAUAGGUCCUUAUCGUGGGAAAGAACUUUGUUUUUUUUUCUUUUUGGGUGCCCCUUGGAAAUGCCUCUUCAGUCUUUUGGAUGUGUUUCCACUGUGGAAAGGAAUGGCAUGAGCUCAGUACAUUGGACUGGGCAAUGGGUCUGCUGAAGAAGAUAUCCUGAAAAGUUUAAAAGCUUAGAAAACAAGCUGGAGGCUGGAAUUCAAUUCUGUCUAUGAAGUCCUUUGUAAGAAAGUGAAUAGAAAUGAAGAAAAUAAAAGAGAACAUUUAGGACAAAAGGUGAGGCCCACGGUGAGAUGGCUUAGGUGUGUUGAUACAGGGAUCCAGGCUGAUGUUCCCCUUGGUCAUCCUGGCUCUCUUGGGUCUCCUGGGCCUUAAUCACCUGUUUCUUGCCGUGGAUGUCUUGCUUCGACUCUGGGCCACCAUCCUUCAGGAAGAGACCCUGGAACUUUUCAGCCAUUUGGUCAGAACUUCUCAGUUUGACUAGUCAAGUUCUCUCUUCCUUGGGUUCAUGUGUCUUUUCACAUCCUUUUUGAAUUCCUGGAAUUUUGCCUUCAACCUGGGGGCUUGUUGUGCACUCCGGAAUCAGCUGGCCAACAGCUCUGGCGUUGGACUUUGAUGGGCAGUUAGGCUGUGUGUCCCAAACCAAGUCCCAUCACUGCCCUAACCGGGCUUCAGCUCCACCAGUGGGGUUCCUGAGUCAUUGGCUCUUCAGAGACUUGUCCCAGCUCCCGAGGAGACCAAUUGUCCCUGUGUCCUUGUGUCUCAGAAGCUUCCCAGCAGCCGUCCAUGCUCUUUCCACUGGGGAAGGUCAUUGUGAGAGGCAAAGGGGAGCAGCUUGUUCCACCUUCCAGAUCUCUUCUUCAUCUGCCUGACUGCAGGGUCUUCAUGUCCUACUCAGACAGACAGACAGACCACGGGCUGUAACUGGGGAUCCUGCUUGCCUUCCUCCAGGCUGUUGCUGGUGGAAUCCUGCUCAAUCAGAGAUUCCUUGGUAGAGGCCAUCAGAAGGGGAAAGGAGGGGGUGGUGAUGCCACAGCGGCGUCAGCAAUGGUUGCUCCCAGUGACGCGAAGGCGGAGGGUGCAGCCAUUGUGGCGCUCUGUUGGCCCUAGUGCUUAAGUAGGCUGAGUCUCGCUACUGCUCGCACAUGCGCGAGACACUCCGGCCCCCCAACCCGGCUGCCAGGGGACUGGAAAGGGCUUGGAAGAGAUGCGCUAAUCCAAACGUUUCAUUUUUAGGAGAGGGGGAAAAUGGAGGCCUGGACAGAAGGGAUUCAUUGCACUUGACUCCGGGAGCCAAUGGGAGAGCUAAGUCCAGAGCAUUGGUGAAAUUGGGAGGGAAAUGAUAAGGGUGCCGACAUCCCAGCUUGAAUCCCGCCUAGGAAUCAGAGUUCCUGUGUGGGAUGGCUCAAGUCUGGGAUAUGGGGACGGGGGAAGGGACAGCACUGGUUGAGGUCAUGGUCCAAAGCCAUUGGCCAAGGAAAGGAUCCCCAGGGAGGAGAUUCGGUUUGCAAAGCUCCUGGGGAAGAGGAAUUGGGGCUCUUUGCUUCCUGAUCUCUCUCUCAACUAACUCUGCCUGUUGACUAGUGCUCUGUCUGGGACCUGAACCCAACUCGGGUGGGAAAGACUGAAACCCCAAGUUUCACCUCUGAUCUUUCCUAAGGACAGCUUUUCAGUCCAGUCCCACUUUCUAAUCUGAUUUCAGACCCUUCCUAGCUGGGUGACCGUGGGCAAAUCACUUCACCUCCAUUGCCCGGCCCUGACCACUCUCCUGCCUGAGAACCAAUACUCAGCAUUGAAUGGAAGAUGCAAGGUAAAGGGGGGAAUGAAAGCUACAAAUCCCUUCUGGAAGUAUUCUAGGAAUCAGCUUCAAGCUCACCAAGAGCCUUCUUCUUCCCUUGGAUCUCCUGCUUAGCCUCUGCGCCACCAUCCUUCACCCAGAUUUCCUUGAACUUCUCCGCCAUGUGGUCAGAAUUUCUCUCUUUGACUAGUCAAGCUUUCUCUUCCUGGGCUUCUUCUUUCCUUUCUUUUGUUUCUUGUCAUCUCCUUCUUGUAUUUCUGGAAUUUUGCCUUCAACCUGUGAACAUUUUGUGCACUCAGGCAUCUGUUGGCCAGCAGCCGCCCUGGCUUUGGACUUUGAUGGGCAGAGUGAGGCUGUGUGUUCCCAACACAAGCCCCUUCACUACCCGCACUGGGCUUCAGCUCCAGCAGUGGGGUUCUGGAGUGAUUGGCACAGCUCUUCAGAGACUUGUCCUGGCUUCUGAGGAGGACAAUUGUCCUUCUGUCCUUGUGUCUCAGCAGCUUCCCAAGAGCCGUUCCUGCUCUUUCCAUUGGGGAAGGUCAUUGUGAGAGGCAAAGGGGAGCAGCUUGGCUCCCACCUUCCAGAGCUCUUCUUCCUCUGCCUGCCUGCAGGGUCUUCAUGCCCUGCUCAGCAGACAGACAACGGGCUGAAACUGGGGAUCCUGCUUGCUGUCCUCCAGGCUGUCAGCGGUGGAAUCCUGCUCCUCCUGAGGUUCCUUGGUAGAGACCAUCAGAAGGGGAAGGGGUGGCCCGAUGUGGAAGAAGCGUCAGCAAUGGUUGCUCCCAGUGACCUGAAGGCAAAGGGGGCAGCCGUUGUGGCAGCUCUGGUGGCCCUCGCGCUGAGUUUCCUUCCAACUCGCGCAGGCUCGAGAGCGCAGGCAUGCGCGCAAGCCUAGCCCUGUCUGCCUGGCUGCUGUGGCAGUGGGAAAGUGCUUGGAAGAGAUCUCCUAAUUCACACACUUCCUUUUGUAGGAGAAGGGAAAAAAUGGAGGCCAGGACAGAAGUGACUCAUUGCACGUGACUCCGGGAGCCAAUGGGAGAGCUAAGUCCAGAGCACUGGUGAAAGUGGGAGGGAAAUCAUGAGGAGACCUCCAUCCCAGCUUGAAUCCCGCCUAUGAAUCAGAGUCCUGUGUCAUGGCCAAACUCUGGGAUUUGGGGACCGGCGAGGGGGGGGGAGGGAAAGUACUAGUGGAGGUCAAGCUCCAAAGCCAUUGGCCAGUUAAAGGAUCCUCAGGGAGCAGAUUAGGUUUGCAAAGCAAGUGGGGGAAGAGGAAUGGGGCUCUUUGCUUCCUGACUCAUCUCUCAACUAACUCUGCCUCUGGGCUAGUGCUCUGUCUGGGACCUAAACCCAACUUGGGUGGCAAAGGCUGGAACCCCAAGUGUCUUCUCUUCUCUUUCCUAAUGAGUGCUUCUCAAUGGAGACCAACAUUCUAAUCUGAUUUCAGACCCUUCCUAGCUAUGUUACUCUGGGCAGAUCACUUCACCCCCAUUGCCCAGCCCUGACCACUCUCUCCUGCCUGAGAAACAAUACACAGAAUUAAUUGGAAAAUGGAAGGUAAGGGGGGGGGGACAAAAACUACAAAUCCCUUCAGGAAGUAUUCUAGGAAUCAGUUUCAAGCUCACCAGCUAUUGUUUCCAUGAGACAUUUUUCUUCCUUUGGUUCCCAACCAGGGCAGACUUUCAUGUCUUCUCUCUUCUUGUCCUUCUCCAUGGUUCUGCAAAGAUCUGCUAAUUUUGGAAGAAGCCUAGUAAGGGAAGCUGAUUUGAUCAGUGGAUAGAGAAUCAGGCCUAAUGACUGGAGCUUUAAAUCCAGCCUGGGACACUUCCUUGCUGUGUUUCCCUGGCUUCCAAGAGCCGUUCCUGGUCUUUCCACUGGAGAAUGUCAUUGUGAGAGGCAAAGGGGAGUAGCUUGGCUCCCAUCUUCCAGAGAUCUUCUUCAUCUGCCUGCCUGCAGGGUCUUCAUGUCCUGCUCAGCAGACAGACAACAGGCUGAAACUGGGGAUCCUGCUUGCUGUCCUCCAUGCUGUCACUGGUGGAAUCCUGGUCCUUGAGAGAUUCCUUGAGAUUUAUGUCUUUUCUCUUCUUGUCCUUCUCCAUGUUUCUGCAAUGAUCAGCCAAUUUUGGAAGAAGUCUCAGAAGGUUAACUGAUUGGCUCAGUGUAUAGAGAAUCAUGUCUUACGAUUGGAGGUUCAGAGAGUCAGAGUAAAGAUGGUGGCCUAGAGGGAGCAGAAAUUCAGACCUCUGAAUAUUCUUCCUUACGGAUCACAAAGUGAAUUCUCCUAGGCGACUGAAAAUCAAACCUACCAAAAAGACAGAGCCAAGGAAACCUCCUGCUGCACUUAAUUUAAAAGGGAGCCCCCCCCCAAAAGCCGGAAUCCAAGAACACUUGGGUUUAUAAGGGAAAGGUAGACAGAAUCCCCAGGAUCCCUUCCCCUGCCCAGCUAGAGCACUGAGCCUCCAGGGGCAGCAGGAACCUCUGGGCAGGUAAAGGUCGUGGUCUGUUGGCUUUAUCUUGGGAGCAGGGCUGUGCCAAGCUCAGAUCUAUGAAUACAGACAGUGGGGAAGGAGCUGGAGAGGGAGCAUAGAGGUGCCAGCCUGUUAGCCUGUUCAGAACUCUGAAUAUCCUCCAUAUUUGCAGGCUUCCAGGAGCUUUUGGCCUCAGAGCACACCCACCCCAUCUCAGCUGAACUUAAUCCCAUCAAAAGUCUUCAGAACUCAAGGAAACCCAGGCUCCACACCCCUCCCUCAUUGACUGCUGGACUUUAAAUUGAUCAAAAGCCUCCAGAGGACAGGAAAGCUUAAAUCCCAACAAAUCUCCCCCACAGACUCCACAGAGAGAUCUUGUGUCAAAGCUCCAAGAGAGGAGAUGGACAGAAGCCCCCAAAACCAAAAAAAUGAGUGGAGCAUGAGCACAGGCAAAUAUGGGGAGCAAAGAAGGGGUGAAUAUGAGCAAACAACAGAAAAAGAAUGAAAUGACAAUAGACAGCUUCUAUACAGAGAACAGAACAGAGGGGGAGGGAUCGGGAAACUAUAAAUCAUAAAUCCCAGUGAAUUGGAUACAGGUUUUGUAAGAACUCAAAAUGCAAUUCAAAGCACAAUUAAAAGAUUUUGAAGGCAAUUGGGAAAAGAAUUUAAAAGCUAAUAUAAGUCAUCUGGAACCAGAAGAUAGUGUCUUGAAAGCCAAAAUUAAUCAGCUUGAAAAUGAGGCAAAAAAGAUGAAAGAAAUGGGAAAAGAAACAAAAGGGGGUAAAUUUAUAUGUCACUAAGAAGCUUAUAGUGGGAGGAUAGAGAAUAUCAAUACACUGGAUGGAUUAAGAGGUUGGAGAUAGGAUACACUCAACUCUUUUGUGCAUUGAAAUUGACCCAAAGAGGGAAGAACAAUCCAAUACAUUGG